UCCUGGUGGCUCAGACAGUAAAGAAUCUGCCUGCAAUGCAGGAGACCCAGGUUCAAUCCAUGGAUCAGGAA
Molecule: transfer RNA, 71 nt
Filed under: Bos taurus (domestic cattle)
Lineage: Eukaryota; Metazoa; Chordata; Mammalia; Artiodactyla; Bovidae
Also listed under: 1 other name
Rfam family: tRNA
About the family: Transfer RNA (tRNA) molecules are approximately 80 nucleotides in length. Their secondary structure includes four short double-helical elements and three loops (D, anti-codon, and T loops).
Source: Rfam by way of RNAcentral